UACGAGGGGGGCGAGCGUUGUUCGGAAUUAUUGGGCGUAAAGGGCGUGUAGGCGGUUGGUCAAGUCGGGUGUGAAAGCCUGAGGCUCAGCCUCAGAAGUGCAUCCGAAACUAGCCAGCUAGAGCGCGAUAGAGGAGGGUGGAAUUCCUGGUGUAGCGGUGAAAUGCGUAGAUAUCAGGAGGAACACCGGCGGCGAAGGCGGCCCUCUGGCUCGUUGCUGACGCUGAGACGCGAAAGCGUGGGGAGCAAACAGG
Molecule: ribosomal RNA, 253 nt
Filed under: uncultured bacterium
Lineage: Bacteria
Description: partial 16S ribosomal RNA
Rfam family: Bacterial small subunit ribosomal RNA
Source: RNAcentral